Molecule: ribosomal RNA, 468 nt
Filed under: uncultured bacterium
Lineage: Bacteria
Description: partial 16S ribosomal RNA
Rfam family: Bacterial small subunit ribosomal RNA
Source: RNAcentral
GACGAACGCUGGCGGCGUGCUUAGCACAUGCAAGUCGAACGGAAAGGCCCUGCUUUUGUGGGGUGCUCGAGUGGCGAACGGGUGAGUAACACGUGAGUAACCUGCCCUUGACUUUGGGAUAACUUCAGGAAACUGGGGCUAAUACCGGAUAGGAGCUCCUGCUGCAUGGUGGGGGUUGGAAAGUUUCGGCGGUUGGGGAUGGACUCGCGGCUUAUAAGCUUGUUGGUGGGGUAGUGGCUUACCAAGGCUUUGACGGGUAGCCGGCCUGAGAGGGUGACCGGCCACAUUGGGACUGAGAUACGGCCCAGACUCCUACGGGAGGCAGCAGUGGGGAAUAUUGCACAAUGGGCGGAAGCCUGAUGCAGCAACGCCGCGUGCGGGAUGACGGCCUUCGGGUUGUAAACCGCUUUCGCCUGUGACGAAGCGUGAGUGACGGUAAUGGGUAAAGAAGCACCGGCUAACUACGUG